AUAAAACGCAGGUCAGGACAACAAUUUGCUCAUCAUCAGCAAUAGGAGUACAAACUCACGUUAUAGAACGACGUCGUGCUUUGGUCCUGCAUUUCAUCCCAGAAGGUCUGGGACGGGGGAAGAGGUCUGUAACGUCCUUUUCCCGAGUAUUCUCGCCUCUGACGUGCCUGGUAGUGGACGGAAAAUGUUAAGUCGUCGUCUACAAGGUCGCUGGUUUCUGGGUCCCAUGAAACUGCUUUUACGACGAGAUUUUCUGUCUCUAAGAUUUUAAUUUCAAGACGAGAAAAGUCAACAGUCUUCUUUAGUAAUGUGAUGAGAAGAGCGAUUGGAGCGAAGCUUUGUAGAAAAAUUCAAAAUGUGCAUUUGCUGGGAACCGGAAUCAUUUACUGGAGUUGGAAUCUUUUGAAUUACUGAACUGAUAUGCUGAUCAUUACACCACAAAAGCAUAAGACAGAAAUACCUUGGAUGUUUCGCCGAAUCUUACAUGACGGACGUUUUGAUGUGACCUGUGAUUUGCUUAUUAUCCUCAACAAAAAAUCGAAUGCUUCGCACAACUAGCAUGCUUUAACAAGAUCCAAAACUUUUGAUGUUCAUCUAUUGAUUGAGUCUCAGUUAUAAUUCAGUUAAAAAUUUAUUAUCCAUUUAAUGAUAAAUCAGAGAAUUAAAUAAGAGUGGGAAAAACACAAUAAGUUUUGGAGUUUUCCAAAAGGUCCGCAGCCAGAUGCGCAAAUGAAGGAACUGCCCGGAGUGUGGUUUUAGAUAUAAGAUACCAUGCAUUAUUCGACUGGAAUACAUCUUUGAGGAUAAAAAAGAAAAAAUAAAAAAAAAAGGAGGCUGCAGAAUAUCUUACAUAAGUUUUGGUUAAAUAUAGCGUAUAGCUUUUGGGUGUAACAGAAGAGAGAGAUGAAGGUUCUAGCAUUGAAUUACACGGCAUAUUAUAUCCAAUGCUGUGCAGUGCCUGUAUAUACGAUUUCAAUUACGUUUAUUAUUCUCGUGCAGGCAGAAUAAAAAUUACAUACAAAGUCAAACUACUUUGAUAGCAUGAAGCCACAGUACAACAGCUUGGUGAAAUGAUUUUUUGAUGGUCUUGGCAAUGGUAGCUAACGAGUUCCUAGUUCUACUUUCCUAUCCUAUAAUUAACAAUAUAAGCAGAAAGUAGCUCUACCACAGAUAACUAUUACUGCCCACAGUCAAUUGUGGCUUGGGAGUUCGGUAUAAUGCAUCGACAGAUGAGGACAUAUCUAUGCACUUUGAUGCUCUUGUCGUCAACAGGAUGAUAUCUGAAACAAUGAGGUAACAAUGCUACGCUGCUAAUGCAUCCAGAUUCAUGUGAAUCAAGAUAUGCAGGGAUGAACUAAUCAGAUAUGUGAAAGGACUAUGAACAUAUCUGUUCCCAAGCAGACCAUAUGAUUAGGCUCUUCGUAAUAUCUGGUUCAAUUCAUCUUGAAUUCCUACCAGACUAACUAUCGAAAGCUUUCAGCUGCAUUAAUUCCUGCGUUGCACAGGACACUAUCAGAAUGGACACCGCCGCAGAUCCUCGACAUUUAAGUGACUAUACUCCAUGCAUUAUUACUUCUAUAUUUGUAAAAUUCAUAUAUUAUACUUGCCUUCAGAAAGCUAUUAACAGAUGUACUUCUCACAUAAUAUUGCAUCUCUUUUAGAUCAUCAAGUUAAAUUGAAUAACUCUAGUAUCUGAAAAGUAUGCAAGUUAGAUAACUGCGAGAAAUUUUACAUAUUUUGAAACUUUCAUCGACCUUCUGAAAAGGGAUAGGUCUGUUUGCUAAGAAUUCAAGAGUCGAACAAUACCCAGCUAAGUCCAAAAUUUCGAGAAAAAGGGCAUUAAAUGUUGUAUGUGAAGUCAUGCUCUUAAAAGCUUUCAGCAAACGUCAAGUUCUUGAGAGAAACAAAUUUUUAAAAGUAAGAGUGUGCAAAUUCAAAAUAGUUCAAUAAAUAUUCCUUUAAUAACAAAAAUACAAAUAAAUUUAGGAGAAGUUUUAGGUAUUUGGUUUUUGAAUU
Stegodyphus dumicola is the source of this 2016-nucleotide long non-coding RNA. RefSeq lists it as uncharacterized. Lineage: Eukaryota; Metazoa; Arthropoda; Arachnida; Araneae; Eresidae. The record is from RefSeq and is a predicted model, not a curated record.